GUGGAUUAGAUACCCUGGUAGUCCGCACAGUAAACGAUGAAUGCUGGUUCUUGGCGAUAUACAGUCAGGAACUGAGGGAAACCAUUAAGCAUUCCACCUGGGGAGUACGCCGGCAACGGUGAAACUCAAAGGAAUUGACGGGGGCCCGCACAAGCGGAGGAACAUGUGGUUUAAUUCGAUGAUACGCGAGGAACCUUACCCGGGCUUGAAUUGCAGCUGCAUGGUUCAGAGAUGGACCUUCCCUUCGGGG
RNAcentral lists this ribosomal RNA (250 nucleotides) under uncultured bacterium. RNAcentral's name for it is "partial 16S ribosomal RNA". It matches the Rfam family "Bacterial small subunit ribosomal RNA", at positions 773 to 1025 of the family's 1533-position model. The record is from RNAcentral.